GUUUGAUCCUGGCUCAAGAUUGAACGCUGGCGGGAUGCUUUACACAUGCAAGUCGAACGGCAGCACGGACUUCGGUCUGGUGGCGAGUGGCGAACGGGUGAGUAAUGUAUCGGAACGUGCCUAGUAGCGGGAGAUAACUACGCGAAAGCGUAGCUAAUACCAUAUCCUUCGGGGGAAAGCGGGGGACCUUUCAGGCUCGCACUAUUAAACGGCCGAUAUCGGAUUAGCUGGUUGGUGGGGUAACGGCUCACCAAGGCGACGAUCCGUAGCUGGUUUGAGAGGACGACCAGCCACACUGGGACUGAGACACGGCCAGACUCCUACGGGGAGGCAGCAGUGGGGAAUUUUGGACAAUGGAAACCUGAUCAGCCAUCCCGCGUGUGCAAUUGAAGGCCUUCGGGUUGUAAAGCACUUUUGGCAGAAAGAAACGGCGCGGGAUAAUACCCCGUGCAACUGACAGUACCUGCAGAAUAAGCACCGGCUAACUACGUGCCAGCAGCCGCGGUAAUAUUACAUGAGGUGCAAGCGUUAAUCGGAAUUACUGGGCGUAAAGCGUGCGCAGGCGGUUUAGGAAGAAAGAUGUGAAAUCCCAGAGCUUAACUUUGGAACUGCAUUUUUAACUACCGAGCUAGAGUGUGUCAGAGGAGGUGGAAUUCCGCGUGUAGCAGUGAAAUGCGUAGAUAUGCGGAGGAACACCGAUGGCGAAGGCAGCCUCCUGGGAUAACGCGGCAACUCAUGCACGAAAGCGUGGGGAGCAAACGGGAUUAGAUACCCUGGUAGUCCACGCCCUAAACGAUGUCAACUAGCUGUUGGGGCCUUCGGGCCUUGGUAGCGCAGCUAACGCGUGAAGUUGACCGCCUGGGGAGUACGGUCGCAAGAUUAAAACUCAAAGGAAUUGACGGGGACCCGCACAAGCGGUGGAUGAUGUGGAUUAAUUCGAUGCAACGCGAAAAACCUUACCUACCCUUGACAUGUCUGGAAUCCCGAAGAGAUUUGGGAGGGUGCUCGCAAGAGAACCGGAACACAGGUGCUGCAUGGCUGUCGUCAGCUCGUGUCGUGAGAUGUUGGGUUAAGUCCCGCAACGAGCGCAACCCUUGUCAUUAGUUGCUACGAAAGGGCACUCUAAUGAGACUGCCGGUGACAAACCGGAGGAAGGUGGGGAUGACGUCAAGUCCUCAUGGCCCUUAUGGGUAGGGCUUCACACGUCAUACAAUGGUCGGGACAGAGGGUCGCCAACCCGCGAGGGGAGCCAAUCCCAGAAACCCGAUCGUAGUCCGGAUCGCAGUCUGCAACUCGACUGCGUGAAGUCGGAAUCGCUAGUAAUCGCGGAUCAGCAUGUCGCGGUGAAUACGUUCCCGGGUCUUGUACACACCGCCCGUCACACCAUGGGAGUGGGUUUUACCAGAAGUAGUUAGCCUAACCGUAAGGAGGCGAUUACCACGGUAGGAUUCAUGACUGGGGUAGGUAUGGCUAAAGGUAA
RNAcentral lists this ribosomal RNA (1480 nucleotides) under uncultured Bordetella sp. RNAcentral describes it as "partial 16S-23S ribosomal RNA intergenic spacer". It matches the Rfam family "Bacterial small subunit ribosomal RNA". Lineage: Bacteria; Pseudomonadati; Pseudomonadota; Betaproteobacteria; Burkholderiales; Alcaligenaceae. The record is from RNAcentral.